CGGGCUGGGUCGGGGGCUCUGCCUCGGUGCUGCUGCCCUGGCUGCUGCGGCCGCUGCUACUGGUGGAUGGAGCCUUGAUGAUGAUGAUGCAUGCAGAAAAGAAAUGAAAUUAGCGCAUGAAACCUGCGAUUUCAGAGACAGAACUGCUUCGAAUGAGACAUGUUUACAAGAGGGAGCUGAUUCAUAGGUAAGCAGGGUCCUGUAGAUGGACAGGUAGUUGGUAUUAGGCAAAUGACACACACUAGGAGAUGUAGGCACAGGAAGUUGGGGGGAAGCUAGAUCCAAACAGCAAAACACCUUGGAGGGGUGAAGUUCUUUGCCAACUUAACUCCAGGCUCCUACAUCCAAAUGCCACAUCCACUUGGAGGUCUCACUGGCAUCUCAAACUCAGCAGGUUCAAAUAUGACCUCCUGAUCUCCUACCAUAGUCUCCUCAAGCUGCUAACCCAGUCCUACCUCAGGACUUUUGCACUGGCUGUUCCUGCUUCCUGGAAUGCCCUACUUCCAGAUAUCCCCAUGGUUCCCUGCUUCAUCUCCAAUUACUCUCAUUCUACAUUUUCUUUUUUUUCCCACAGCACUCAUCAGAGUUAACAUACUUCAAAAUUUUCUUAUUUCUUAUCCUUAUAAUCUGUUGUCUGUCUUCCCCUGCUAGAAAGUAAGCUCCAGGAGGGCAGGGCCCCUUUAGUCUGUUCUGUUUCCUGACACGUUCCCAGCUGCCUCGCCUCACGAACAGUUGUGUCAAUGAACACUUGUAGAAGGAAUGCAUGAGCGAAUGAAUGGAUGGAGUCAGGUAUGAGAAAGAACAAAGCAGAGUCUGCGGUGGGGGCUGUGACUUACUGCAUCCAGGCAGGGGGAUUGAUGUCCCCAUUUUCUAGAUGCAGAGCCCUAGGCGCAGAGAAGGAAAGCCAGCUACCCUGGGUCACCAGCUGGUGUGGACCAGCACCGGGAUUCAAACCCAGCUUUGCCCCGCAACAAAGCCUGAGUUCUGUGCCCACCUGGAUGCAACUGUGGUCACGUGUGCAAGUCGAAAAGACCAUUUCCAGCCUCCCUGGUAUUCUCCGUCCAAGUUAUCACCAUCACUCACCGCAGCCUGGACGACUGCAGUGCCUUCUUCCCUUGUCUCGGCCUGCCACCCCUGUCCUGCCACCACUUUAAGGUCUGCUUUCCCAAGAGUCAGAUUUUUCAAAAAGAAAUUCAGAUCACGCCAACGCCCGGCUUAAAAAUCCUAAGGUCACAUCCCACAUGAGUCGAGGGGAUCCGAACUCCCAACCCUGGUCUGUGAGGCCCCCUACUGUAGACGAUGCCCGUGCCCACCCAGAUUUCCUGGGCCAGGCUGCUGUGCCCAUCCCCAGCCGCUGUGAGUGUCACUUGCUCUCGGAUGCCCCCUGCUCUGAAGAAUCGCCCUCCCCUAAAAGGAGGACUUCUGGGAAGAGCCUGUGGCCAACUGCUAGGAAGGUCUAAGGUAGGACUAACCCUGCCCCGUUAGUCACACUCCAGCGCUGCCUGAGGGGUCAGGCUGGAAGCAAACUCUAGUGGGGACCAGGUUCAUGGACCUUCUCUGUAAGCCAUCUGUUGCCCCCUUGCCCUUGCAGCUUCCCCCUUGGCAACUCAUUGUCUCCAGCAUCCUUAUCUCAGGCUCCAAGUCUAUGAAACCCCAACUAAGACACUGCAUGGCCUGCCCAGACCUACUGCUUUCGCUCUGGUCCAUCUGUUCUUGCUCCUCCAGUGCCCUGAGGUCCAUCGCUGCCUUAGCGUACUUCCAAGUCCCGGCUCUUCUCUCCGCCACGUUUCUCCCUAUCAUCCACGGCUUCCUUUCCAUCUUUCCAUCCUCCACUCAAAUAACCCUCCCCGUCACUCGCUCCUGCAUCCACCAUCCCGUUUUCUUCCUGGCACUGUCUCCAUCUGAAACAAUCUGCCUUACUUACUGUCUGUCUCCCCAUCUACAAUGUCAGCUCCCAGAAGGCACCACGGGUCGGUACACGGUCAAGGGCCCAUGGUGUUUUUUGGUCCUUUUAGGGCUGGACCCAAGACAUAUGGAGGUCCCCAGGCUAGGGGUCCAAUUGGAGCUGCAGCUGCCAGCCUACACCUCAGCUACAGCCACAGCAACACCAGAUCUGAGCCGA
Sus scrofa (pig) is the source of this 2122-nucleotide non-coding RNA. NCBI's taxonomy places the organism in Eukaryota, Metazoa, Chordata, Mammalia, Artiodactyla, Suidae. The record is from RefSeq and is a predicted model, not a curated record.